UUCGAUGCAACGCGAAGAACCUUACCUGGUCUUGACAUCCCGGAGACCCUUAGGAAACUAGGGGGUGCUUCCAUCUGGAAGAAUCUGGAGACAGGUGCUACAUGGCUGUCGUCAGCUCGUGUCGUGAGAUGUUGGGUUAAGUCCCGCAACGAGCGCAACCCUUGCCUUUAGUUGCCAGCAGUUCGGCUGGGCACUCUAAAGGGACUGCCGGUGUUAAACCGGAGGAAGGUGGGGAUGACGUCAAGUCCUCAUGGCCUUUAUGACCAGGGCUACACACGUACUACAAUGGCCGAUACAAAGGGCAGCGACACUGCGAGGCGAAGCCAAUCCCGUAAAAUCGGUCUCAGUCCGGAUUGGAGUCUGCAACUCGACUCCAUGAAGUUGGAAUCGCUAGUAAUCGUGGAUCAGCAUGCCACGGUGAAUACGUUCCCGGGCCUU
Molecule: ribosomal RNA, 438 nt
Filed under: uncultured Desulfobulbus sp.
Lineage: Bacteria; Pseudomonadati; Thermodesulfobacteriota; Desulfobulbia; Desulfobulbales; Desulfobulbaceae
Description: bacterial SSU rRNA
Rfam family: Bacterial small subunit ribosomal RNA
Source: RNAcentral